Oryctolagus cuniculus (rabbit) is the source of this 3141-nucleotide non-coding RNA. Lineage: Eukaryota; Metazoa; Chordata; Mammalia; Lagomorpha; Leporidae. The record is from RefSeq and is a predicted model, not a curated record.
UUCUUGGAAAAGACCCCAGAAGCACAGGCAGUCAAAGCCAAAAUUAACUAUUGGGAUUGCAUCAAAUUGAGAAGUUUCUGUACUUCAAAAGAUACAGUCAGGAAAGUGAAGAGGCAACCGACAGAAUGGGAAAAUAUAUUUGCAAACUAUGCAACAGAUAAAGGGUUGAUAACCAGAAUUUACAAAGAAAUCAAGAAACUCCACAACAUCAAAACAAACAACCCACUUAAGAGAUGGGCCAAGUGCCUCAAUAGACAUUUUUCAAAAGAGGAAAUCCAAAGGGCCAACAGACACAUGAAAAAAUGUUCAAGAUCACUAGCAAUCAGGGAAAUGCAAAUCAAAACCACAAUGAGGUUUCACCUCACCCCAGUUAGAAUGGCUCACAUUCAGAAAUCUACCAACAAUAGAUGCUGGAGAGGAUGUGGGGAAAAAGGGACACUAACCCACUGUUGGUGGGAAUGCAAACUGGUUUAGCCACUAUGGAAGUAGUCUGGAGAUUCCUCAGAAACCUGAUUAUAUCCCUACCAUACAACCCAGCCAUACCACACCACUCCUUGGAAUUUACCCAAAGGAAACGAAAUUGGCAAACAAACAAGCUGUCUGCACAUUAAUGUUUAUCGCAGCUCAAUUCACAAUAGCUAAGACCUGGAAUCAACCUAAAUGCCCAUCAAGAGUAGACUGGAUAAAGAAAUUAUGGGAUAUGUACUCUACAGCAUACUAUACAGCAGUCAAAAACAAUGAAACCCGGUCAUUUGCAACAAGAUGGAGGAAUUUGGAAAACAUCAUGCUGAGUGAAUUAAGCCAGUCCCAAAGGGACAAAUAUCAUAUGUUCUCGCUGAUGGGCAACAACUAACUGAACACCAAAGGGGAGACCUGUUGAAGUGAAAUGGACACUAUGAGAAACGGUGACUUGAUCAGCUCUUGUCCUCACUGUUGAUGUACAAUUUAAUAUUUUAUCCCUUUUAGUAUUUUUUUUGUUCUAGUACUAUUGGUUGAACUCUGUAAUUAACACACAGUUAUUCCUAGGUGUUUAAAUUUUAACUGAAAAGUGAUCCCUGUUAAAUAUAAGAGUGGGAAUAAGAGAGGGAGGAGAUGUACAAUUUGGUACAUGCUCAAUCGGACUUGCCCCAAAUGGUGGAGUUAGAAAUGUGCCAGGGGAUUCCAAUAAAAUCCCAUCAAGGUGGCAUGUACCAAUGCCAUCUCACUAGUCCAAGUGAUCAACUUCAGUUCAUAGUUGAUCACACUGAUAGGUCUGAGAGUCAAAGGGAUCACACAAACAAGACUAGUGUCUGCUAAUACUAACUGAUAGAAUCAAAAACGGAGAGAACGAUCCAACAUGGGAAGUGGGAUACACAGCAGACUCAUAGAAUGGCAGAUGUCCUAAAUAGCACUCUAGCCUCAGAAUCAGCCCUUAAGGCAUUCGGAUCUGGCUGAAGAGCCCAUGAGAGUAUUUUAGGCAUGGAAUGCCAAGACACUCUGGCAAAAAAAAAAAAAAGAAAAAAAAAGAAGAAGACCUAAAUGAAAGAUCUCUGCGAGUGAGAUCCCAGUGGAAAGAAUGGGGCCAUCAAAGAAGGAAGUACCUUUCUCUGAAGGGAGGAGAGAACUUCCACUUUGACUAUGACCUCAUUUAAAUAAGAUCGAAGUCGGUGAACUCAAAAGGCUUCCAUAGCCUUGGCAACUCAUGACUAGAGCCUAGGGAGAUUACUGAUGCCAUAAACAAGAGUGUCAAAUUGUUAAGUCAACAACAGGAGUCACUGUGUACUUACUUCUCAUGUGGGAUCUGUCCUUAAUGUGUUGUCCAUUGUGAAGUAAUGCUAUAACUAGUACUGAAACAGUAUUUUUACACUUUCUGUUUCUGUGUGGGUGCAAACUGAUGAAAUCUUUGCUUAAUAUAUACUGAAUCGAUCUUCUGUAUAUAAAGAUAAUUGAAAAUGAAAAAAACACAACUGUGUACAAGGCAUCCAUAUUAUCAUGGUGAAUGAAGAGACAGAUAAGGCAUAGUCCUCAAGGAGCUAAUAAUCUAGUUAAAAAUAUUAUAUUUAGGGGCCAGUGUUCUGGUGUAAUGGGUUAAGUUGCCACCUGCAUCCUUGGCUUUCUCAUAUUGAGUUCAAGUCCCACCUGCUCUAAUUCCUUUCCUGCUCCCUGCUAAUGUGCCUUGGAAAAGCAGCAGAAGAUGGCCCAAGUCCUUGGACCCCUGCAUUUAUGUGGAUGAAGCUCCUGGUUCCUGUCUUCAGGCUGGCCCACCACCAUCCUUUAAGUUAGGAUUUGUGAAAGCUCUAUUAUCGAUGUCAACCACGUGUUUCCUAGUAAAAGAGAGACUUGAUUGGAAAUCAGGACACUUUUCCUACUCCGUGUGCCACUGCCUUAAUCAGCUGUGAAGAUGGCAGAAUGGUUGUACUCAGCUGAGAACUGCAGAUAGGGAGCCAUGAUCAGAAGAGCAGCUGACAAAGGAGCCCUGACCUUGCAGUUUUCUGGGGACUGCUGUGGCCUGGUAAAGGUCCUCCACAGAGAGAACACUGCUACACAUCUUGACUUUGUUAAUAAAAUGCAGAUUCCCACCUGAUUCCAAGGUGAGUUAACACUCCUCUCUCCAGUCCCCCAGUACCAAAGUGAUGAUUACGAACUCUGAGAAGCACAAGCUAUGCUAAGUGCUUCAUACGAAUUGGUCAACAAACCUCGAGGCUGGUGUUAACCUUCAUUUCACAGGUGAAAUAGAGAGUUGCAGUCAUUGGCUCCAAAUCACAAAGCUACUUCCUGGCAGAGCUAGAAGGUGACAGGAGGCUGUCUACUACCCUAGUCCAUGCCUGUGAAGAGCACUCCAGACGGCUUCCACCACUACUUCCACGUUAUUCAUUCCCCUAUCAGACUGGACGUGUGAGAAAGCUUGUUUUGGACACCAAAAGCAAGACACUACCUGGUUAUGUCAAAAUCCUUCACUCAGUACUUGAUUCAACACACAGAAGGGAUCCUUGUGUAGGGCCAAAUGUUGUGGUGAAUUCCAAGAUGAGCCAGACGGAAUCCUCACCCUCAACAAUCUCCUGGUCUCAAAUUUGCACUCACAAUGAUUAAGCACAGUCAAUAUGCAUUGGUGUCCCAGGUAAGCUUUGGAAUGGGUGCAAUGGAGGUUUCCGGGGAGGAGAG